CCUACGGGCCGCACCAGUGGGGAAUAUUGCACACUGGGCGCAAGCCUGAUGCAGCCAUGCCGCGUGUGUGAAGAAGGCCUUCGGGUUGUAAAGCACUUUCAGCGGGGAGGAAGGCGUUAAGGUUAAUAACCUUGGCGAUUGACGUUACCCGCAGAAGAAGCACCGGCUAACUCCGUGCCAGCAGCCGCGGUAAUACGGAGGGUGCAAGCGUUAAUCGGAAUUACUGGGCGUAAAGCGCACGCAGGCGGUCUGUCAAGUCGGAUGUGAAAUCCCCGGGCUCAACCUGGGAACUGCAUUCGAAACUGGCAGGCUAGAGUCUUGUAGAGGGGGGUAGAAUUCCAGGUGUAGCGGUGAAAUGCGUAGAGAUCUGGAGGAAUACCGGUGGCGAAGGCGGCCCCCUGGACAAAGACUGACGCUCAGGUGCGAAAGCGUGGGGAGCAAACAGGAUUAGAUACCCGCGUAG
Molecule: ribosomal RNA, 463 nt
Filed under: uncultured bacterium
Lineage: Bacteria
Description: bacterial SSU rRNA
Rfam family: Bacterial small subunit ribosomal RNA
Source: RNAcentral